GUAGAGAUGCCUUUUUUUUCUUUUAUAUAGCUCAAAACAAAGUAAUGAAUAAAACUAUAGCUGUUUAUAAUUUAACAUAUAUUUGUUUUAUUUUUCAGGAUGGUUGGGUGGCCUUUAGGACAGUUCUUCUGAACAAACGACUGACAGCAGCUGACUUCCAUAACGGUUACUUGAAUCAGACAGUCAAAACGAACACUUCCAGUAAACCAGCUGAAGGACAGUUUGUCAGUAGAAAAGGAAGAACAGAAGAGCUUCAGACAAAUACUUGGAGAGGUCAAAAAAACAAAUAAAGGAAGCAGUGACUUUGGAGGGCAGCGGUAUCUCCACCUGGUUUAGACAGCACUUUGAUACCAGCCCAAGAAAAAAGAAAAAUUCUGUGACUUAACAUUUUUCUAAAAUGUGAUUGUGAUAUGUAUUCUGAAUAGAUAAUAUACAAGGAUGCUCACACCUAUUCAGGAAUUGGUUGCUGACUAUAAAGCAACAUUGCUUCCCUGUUCAUUCCAUUUGCCCAGUCAGCCUUAUCACCAUCAGUUUGACACUCUUAGUACUUUUCUCUGAGGCCAGCAGAUUUAGCUGCUCUGUCACACAAAGAAUAUGAACCAUCAGCACAUUAGUUGUGGUGGGCACAUGGCCCAUUAUUCUGUCUCGCCCUUGCUGUUCCAGUGUCUCUCAGUUUUCAUGGGGGUUUUUCCCAGCAUCCACACAGCUGUCAUUUUUGGCAUUUCGAACAUCUGAUACAUCUAUUAGAUGGAUUUUUUAAGUGGAUCUUUUUGAUACAAGCAUUGAUUUAUUUAUUUGCCAAAAUCACUUUAGCACCCCAUCAAACUUCGAGCCACUGAACUAAAGCCUGGUAACCUUAACCUCUAAGUCCCCAGAGGCAUACAAGCAGGGAUAAAUUGUUUACUAAUCAUCCCUGGAACUGUGCAGCUCCCUUGUGUAAAAAAGGAAGACAAAGAAACGAUUUUACCGUUAUGACCUCUUUUAAAUUGGAUUUUCUCCCAGAGAUGUUGGUCGAUCGUCACUCUUUGGACAAUAGUCCUGUCAGGAAGAAGAUGAAUGGAUCUCUGGAUCAUCCAGAUCAACCAGAUAUUGAUGCUAUUAAGAUGUUUGUGGGACAAAUCCCACGGUCAUGGUCUGAAGAGCAGCUUCGUGAGCUGUUUGAACCCUUUGGAUCAGUCUACGAGAUUAAUGUCUUACGAGACCGGAGCCAAAACCCACCACAGAGCAAAGGUUGUUGUUUUGUAACAUAUUAUACUCGUAAAUCAG
Poecilia latipinna (sailfin molly) is the source of this 1266-nucleotide long non-coding RNA. RefSeq lists it as uncharacterized. Lineage: Eukaryota; Metazoa; Chordata; Actinopteri; Cyprinodontiformes; Poeciliidae. The record is from RefSeq and is a predicted model, not a curated record. The transcript is spliced from 3 exons.